UACGUAGGGUGCGAGCGUUGUCCGGAAUUACUGGGCGUAAAGAGCUCGUAGGUGGUUUGUCACGUCGUCUGUGAAAUUCCGGGGCUUAACCUCGGGCGUGCAGGCGAUACGGGCAAUACUUGAGUGCUGUAGGGGAGACUGGAAUUCCUGGUGUAGCGGUGAAAUGCGCAGAUAUCAGGAGGAACACCAAUGGCGAAGGCAGGUCUCUGGGCAGUUACUGACGCUGAGGAGCGAAAGCGUGGGUAGCGAACAGGAUUAGAUA
Molecule: ribosomal RNA, 262 nt
Filed under: uncultured prokaryote
Description: partial 16S ribosomal RNA
Rfam family: Bacterial small subunit ribosomal RNA
Source: RNAcentral